Heligmosomoides polygyrus is the source of this 72-nucleotide non-coding RNA. Lineage: Eukaryota; Metazoa; Nematoda; Chromadorea; Rhabditida; Heligmosomidae. The record is from Rfam.
GCGCUGGUGGUGUAAAGCGUAGUAUCGCUGCCCGGAAAGCAGAAGGUGCAGGUUCUAGUCCCGCCCAGCGCA